This is a non-coding RNA of Gossypium arboreum, 107 nucleotides long. NCBI's taxonomy places the organism in Eukaryota, Viridiplantae, Streptophyta, Magnoliopsida, Malvales, Malvaceae. The record is from Rfam.
AACCUAUGGUGAAGGAAACUUUUCAAUAAAUCCUUAUACCUAUCCCAUGCAUCAUAUAGGGUCUCUAAGUCCAUCUGUACGAAGGAAGAGAUAUCAUUCCUCAACUU